UGGAGAGUUGGAUCCUGGCUCAGGAUGAACGCUGGCGGCGUGCCUAAUACAUGCAAGUCGAGCGAAUGAUGAGGAGCUUGCUCCUCUGAUUUAGCGGCGGACGGUGAGUAACACGUGGGUAAUCUGCCUGUAAGACGGGGAUAACUCCGGGAAACCGGGGCUAAUACCGGAUAAUAAGAGAAGAAGCAUUUCUUCUUUUUGAAAGUYGGUUUCGGCURACACUUACAGAUGAGCCCGCGGCGCAUUAGCUAGUUGGUGAGGUAACGGCUCACCAAGGCGACGAUGCGUAGCCGACCUGAGAGGGUGAUCGGCCACACUGGGACUGAGACACGGCCCAGACUCCUACGGGAGGCAGCAGUAGGGAAUCUUCGGCAAUGGGCGAAAGCCUGACCGAGCAACGCCGCGUGAGCGAUGAAGGCCUUCGGGUCGUAAAGCUCUGUUGUUAGAGAAGAACAAGUACGAGAGUAACUGCUCGUACCUUGACGGUACCUAACCAGAAAGCCACGGCUAACUAC
This 515-nucleotide ribosomal RNA is filed under the name marine sediment bacterium ISA-3093. RNAcentral's name for it is "bacterial SSU rRNA". It matches the Rfam family "Bacterial small subunit ribosomal RNA", at positions 1 to 504 of the family's 1533-position model. The record is from RNAcentral.